This 433-nucleotide ribosomal RNA is filed under the name uncultured bacterium. RNAcentral describes it as "partial 16S ribosomal RNA". It matches the Rfam family "Bacterial small subunit ribosomal RNA", at positions 29 to 507 of the family's 1533-position model. The record is from RNAcentral.
AACGAACGCUGGCGGCAUGCCUAACACAUGCAAGUCGAACGAGACCUUCGGGUCUAGUGGCGCACGGGCGCGUAACGCGUGGGAACCUGCCCUUAGGUUCGGAAUAACUCCCCGAAAGGGGUGCUAAUACCGGAUAAUGUCUUCGGACCAAAGAUUUAUCGCCUUUGGAUGGGCCCGCGUUGGAUUAGCUAGUUGGUAGGGUAAAAGCCUACCAAGGCGACGAUCCAUAGCUGGUCUGAGAGGAUGAUCAGCCACACUGGGACUGAGACACGGCCCAGACUCCUACGGGAAGCAGCAGUGGGGAAUAUUGGACAAUGGGCGAAAGCCUGAUCCAGCAAUGCCGCGUGAGUGAUGAAGGCCUUAGGGUUGUAAAGCUCUUUUACCCGGGAUGAUAAUGACAGUACCGGGAGAAUAAGCUCCGGCUAACUCCGUG